Molecule: ribosomal RNA, 329 nt
Filed under: Pseudomonas sp. R10.71
Lineage: Bacteria; Pseudomonadati; Pseudomonadota; Gammaproteobacteria; Pseudomonadales; Pseudomonadaceae
Description: bacterial SSU rRNA
Rfam family: Bacterial small subunit ribosomal RNA
Source: RNAcentral
GAGAAAGCAGGGGACCUUCGGGCCUUGCGCUAUCAGAUGAGCCUAGGUCGGAUUAGCUAGUUGGUGAGGUAAUGGCUCACCAAGGCGACGAUCCGUAACUGGUCUGAGAGGAUGAUCAGUCACACUGGAACUGAGACACGGUCCAGACUCCUACGGGAGGCAGCAGUGGGGAAUAUUGGACAAUGGGCGAAAGCCUGAUCCAGCCAUGCCGCGUGUGUGAAGAAGGUCUUCGGAUUGUAAAGCACUUUAAGUUGGGAGGAAGGGCAGUUACCUAAUACGUGAUUGUUUUGACGUUACCGACAGAAUAAGCACCGGCUAACUCUGUGCCA